This 502-nucleotide ribosomal RNA is filed under the name uncultured Glomeromycotina. RNAcentral describes it as "partial small subunit ribosomal RNA". It matches the Rfam family "Eukaryotic small subunit ribosomal RNA", at positions 591 to 1092 of the family's 1831-position model. Lineage: Eukaryota; Fungi; Glomeromycota. The record is from RNAcentral.
CCAAUAGCGUAUAUUAAAGUUGUUGCAGUUAAAAAGCUCGUAGUUGAACUUCAGGCCUGGCUGGACGGUCCGUCCUCUGGGUGAGCACUGUCUGUGGUCGGGUCCUACCUUCUGGCGAAGCGGCAUGGCCUUAACCGGCCGUGGCGGGGAACCAGGACUUUUACUUUGAAAAAAUUAGAGUGUUUACAGCAGGCUCGCGCUUGAAUACAUUAGCAUGGAAUAAUGAAAUAGGACGUUCGAUCCUAUUUUGUUGGUUUCUAGGAUUGACGUAAUGAUUAAUAGGGAUAGUUGGGGGCAUUAGUAUUCAAUUGUCAGAGGUGAAAUUCUUGGAUUUAUUGAAGACUAGCUACUGCGAAAGCAUUUGCCAAGGAUGUUUUCAUUAAUCAAGAACGAAAGUUAGGGGAUCGAAGACGAUCAGAUACCGUCGUAGUCUUAACCAUAAACUAUGCCGACUAGGGAUCGGAUGAUGUUAAUUUUUUAAUGACUCAUUCGGCGCCUUACG